Molecule: ribosomal RNA, 556 nt
Filed under: Paenibacillus sp. EKM10P
Lineage: Bacteria; Bacillati; Bacillota; Bacilli; Caryophanales; Paenibacillaceae
Description: bacterial SSU rRNA
Rfam family: Bacterial small subunit ribosomal RNA
Source: RNAcentral
UAGCGGCGGACGGGUGAGUAACACGUAGGCAACCUGCCCACAAGACAGGGAUAACUACCGGAAACGGUAGCUAAUACCCGAUACAUCCUUUUCCUGCAUGGGAGAAGGAGGAAAGGCGGAGCAAUCUGUCACUUGUGGAUGGGCCUGCGGCGCAUUAGCUAGUUGGUGGGGUAAAGGCCUACCAAGGCGACGAUGCGUAGCCGACCUGAGAGGGUGAUCGGCCACACUGGGACUGAGACACGGCCCAGACUCCUACGGGAGGCAGCAGUAGGGAAUCUUCCGCAAUGGGCGAAAGCCUGACGGAGCAACGCCGCGUGAGUGAUGAAGGUUUUCGGAUCGUAAAGCUCUGUUGCCAGGGAAGAACGUCUUGUAGAGUAACUGCUACAAGAGUGACGGUACCUGAGAAGAAAGCCCCGGCUAACUACGUGCCAGCAGCCGCGGUAAUACGUAGGGGGCAAGCGUUGUCCGGAAUUAUUGGGCGUAAAGCGCGCGCAGGCGGCUCUUUAAGUCUGGUGUUUAAUCCCGAGGCUCAACUUCGGGUCGCACUGGAAACUGG